Long non-coding RNA from Oncorhynchus masou masou (cherry salmon), 5437 nucleotides. RefSeq lists it as uncharacterized. The transcript has 3 exons. Lineage: Eukaryota; Metazoa; Chordata; Actinopteri; Salmoniformes; Salmonidae. The record is from RefSeq and is a predicted model, not a curated record.
CAUCAAAGCUGCCCUGCGUUGACUGACUGAUCCUAAACAUGGCAGUUUCUUAUACCCGCUGCACGCUCACUCAAAAAUGAUAACACUGCUACCUCCACUUCAGACAGGAACGGAGACAGGCAGACAUGUACAGUAGGGGCGAUAGAGGGGGUGUUAGCCCCUCCUUACUGCUGUCAUUGAAGAAGAAAAAAGAGGAAAAUAAAAAAGAGCAGGAGGAAGAAAGAAAACCACAGCCAUACAGGCAGUGCUACGGGCAGUGCUACUCAGCUGAACUGUAUCUGCUGCCUGUUUAACAGUGGGGAGAAGACAUUAUUAGGCGGCGUGCUCCUCCCUCUCCACAGCCAGGCAGCCUUAUCUGUCAGCCAUUAGUUAAUCAAGGCUGGUAACGUGGAAGUAGAGCAGAAAACCGGCACAGCGCAUGGGCCUCUGAGAGCUGAGCUGAGCAGUGCAGGAGGAGGGCAAAGACCUGGGAACUGACCAACCCCUCCACUCUAAACUCUACUACCAGGCUAGGCUGCUGCCUCACUCUACUCAACACUGGAUCAGAGCAUGUCUUUGUCUAGGCAUGGCAGGCUGCAAUUGUAUGAUGACAUCCUCCCAUUCCAUCACAGAGGACAGGUCCUGUUUUGCAAGGAAGUUUCAAAGACAGAAGUCAAAACAACACAUGCUGUCGACGUGGGAAAAGCUGGUAAGAGCAGAACAUCGUGGGGCGGAGGAAUGUCAGAGUCAUAGAUCUUUCAUCCUCAAGGCCAAAAUAGCCACACACAGGCCUGAUCAUCUCCAUGCAUGGGAAGAAACAUUAAGCAACACCUCAUACUAGCACUAAUACAGUCCAGUCUAACCCUGGCCAACGUGGUCCAAAUCUGGCAUCCAGACAUCAGUGGCCAAAGAGAUAUCAUUAGACAAUUACUACACGAGUAAGUAGGCUGUAUUAACUGAAAUUAAUUGGUAUUAACUCGCAAAUAGGAUUUCCUCACAAAAGAGUUGGCACAAACCAAUGUCAUAAGUACAUUUAGAUACCGAAGGUAAAAAAUAGGGACAUUUCUUGUUGGCGUCACCAUGGAGUUGAUUGUAAGGGUAAUGAUGAUUGAAAAGGAUAUUGCAAAGUCUAAAUAAUUAUUGGUCUGUGUUAACAAAGUUGACAAAAUGUUCACUACAAGAGCUUAAGGCUGCUUGUGAUGGAAAAUGAAAGCAGUCGACUAAACUCAACUGUGUCGUUGGUGCCAAACUGUGCCUCUGCCAUGGCUAGAAACUCAAAUAAACAAUCCUAAAAGGGCAUAUUAAGUUUCCCCAACACUAUUCUCUUUUUAAGUCAACACCACUCAGAAAAGAUGAACUGAGCAACCAUAAGUCAACUUUCGGGAAUGACAAAAACCACCAGUUUUUCUACCUGUCCAAACACAGCUGGAACCAAGAUCCAUGUCCAUGUCCCACUCUAGAAAAACUCCAUUGGUGCUUCAUUGAGUACAAUGCUGUUGUCUCAUAAAGCUAUGCCAGACCAGGAAAGUGAACCUGAUUUCGGACAGCAGAACUAAAAAGACGGAACAAUGCAUGAGAUUCUAAAGUGACCUUUGGCCCAGGAUUUCCAAGAGCUUCCAAGAGUCCCUAUUCCUGGCAAAUUCCAUCCAUCCAAAUUCCAUCUUCUUCUUACUCAACACCACUUCACUGUUAAGCUGUCAAGACCCAAACUCUAGUGUCAUUUAUCCUAGUGACGAGUUCACAACCAAAGCCAAAGACAUAGUGUUCUUUUAAAAUAAAUAAAUAAAAUCAAAGGUUAUUUGCCACAUGCUUCGUAAACAACAAGUGUAGACUAACAGUGAAAUGCUUACCUACGGGCCCUUCCCAUCAACGCAGAGAAAAAUGAUAGAAAAAAAUGAUAACACAAGAAAUAAAUACACAACGAGUAAUGAUAACUUGGCUAUAUAUAUGGGGUACAGCUAAUGUUUGUCUUUCAGCAUUGUUCAUCCUGGGUUCCCAUAACAGAAUUGCAUCAUAAGACACCAACGACCGUGACCUUGGCCUUGUGUUCCUACCAAAAAGCUACAGUACAGAUAUCGGACAAAGGGCAACAUUUUCCUCUCUCAAAGAGACACAAGAAAAUGUUGCCCAAAAUAUUGUAUGAUGGGACAAUCACAUUGCUGUUAGAUUGUUUGUAAUUUAGAGGUGGUUGAUCGUCAACACCUGCCCGUGUGUGUCUCAUUAACACAUUCCUCCAAGCUGAACCCUCUGUUUACACCUCUGUCUUUUUAUGGUGCCGUUACGGGGGUGAAAUGGUUGUGUGUUGUUGGUGUGUUUCACAAGCCUGAUAUGCUAUCUACCUUUGAUUUCACCCCCACUAUAUCACUCUUUGAAGAUGUGCAACAAUGUACAAUCUGAAGCUGGGCUCAGUGGACUCCAAAAAUGGUGUUAAACCUUGAGAACAACUGUGUCCUUAACAGUAGAAGGAAAACAAGAUAGGUAAUAGCAUUGACUACAAAGUCAAAGGCGACUAUAAUUCCUUGGUUUCUAGCACAUCAGAUAUAAUAUUUGCCCAACAAUGACUGCCUCACGUAGCCACACUGUAUAUUUUCAGAUCCUAGACGGGUGUCAAACAUACAGCCCGUGGGCCGGUUCCCUGGGUGGUUUGAGUAUAUACUAUAUUUUUUAAUAGGACUAUAUCAUUAUUCUGUCAUUAUUCUGAGUGGCGCAGCAGUUUAAGGCCCUGUAUUGCAGUGCUAGAGGCGUCACUACAGACCCAGGUUCGAUCUGAGAUCCGGAGUCACACCGGCGUUGCACAAUUGGCCCAGUGUCGUCCGGGUUACGGGAGGGUUUGGCCGGGGUAGGCGGUCAUUGUAAAUAAGAAUUUGUUCUUAACUGACUUGCCUGGUUAAAUAUAUAUAUAGUUUUUUAAAAUUUGAUACUUUAAAAUGACUAAAAGCAAAUCCAAACUGUGUAGAAAUUAUACAGUUUCUUGACUGUGUCCAGCUCGCUAAUAGUCACCCAAAUGGAAACAAGACAGUCAGGGAGCAUAGAAAAUUCAAAAAUCAAUGGAUAGAUUACAAUGAAUUUGUUUUGAUGGCGAGGAAAUAUAACCAAUAUCCAGUGCGGCCCUCCAGACCUCAUUGACAAAAUGAGUUUGUGCUUGGAAUUUACUCUGGCGGAUCUGUCGCUGGAGGAUGAUAUGAGAGGACUGAACAUUGCGUGAUGUAAACGGCGGUGUCGUUUAAUCACAAAAGGAUGGGAGGGAGACGUUGGGGCUGAAUAUGUAACAUCGAUGAGUACUGUAGGCUCAAACAUUGACUUGCUGGAAUGUCUUCACCAUCUGUGAGCCAGCGGCCCUAAAGCUCUGAGAGACAGAUGCACAAGUAGAAACAGACCUGCCAGCCAGGUAGCUAAUGUGGAACGUGCAGUACAGGACCCACAUCAGUAAAGGUAGAGCCUGGAAGUCUUCAUAUAAAGAGUGAUACACUGACGUCUAUUGCCCUGCUGACUGACGCCACACAAGAAAGCAGCGGUGGAGGGUGUCUUGGUAAGAUGUGAGGUAAAAAGUAAUAAGCUCUACUUUCUAGGGAGAUAUCGUAUUGGGUUAUUGGGUCAGUUGGUUACCACAUUCUUCUAGGGCAACCUCAAACUCUUUCCCACUGAACCAAGUUUGGGGAGAAAAAAAAUUUAGACAAAUAUGAAGAGUUUGUACAGUCCAACUACCAAGGUACAUCAACAUGACAGCCACCAACAGGCCCCAAUAUGAAUAAUCUCCAGUAGAGACGAGGUGAGAGGAACAUGCAUUAAAGUCCCAUUUCAGAGAGGAUUCAACCCAUAAGCUUUAGAGAUCUUUCUCUCAGAUGCGUUGCAAUGCCAGUUGAGGACCUGUUCCCGAUCAUUGGACGAGCCAGGGAAAGCCUAGUUUAAACGCUUCCAGAUCUCUACUUAUUUUAUCCCCCUGCAUCCAUCCCCAGCUGUAGCGCCAGCGAAACAAAAAUCUGCCUAAACUAGUCUCUCAGUCUUUUCCCCAAUCUCUCUCCACUUGCUCUGCUCUGUAUCCAGUUUCUUUGUGGUUGCGAGUCAACUCCUGCCAUUUUAUGUCAUCACCCUCUGUCACUGAGACUGCAUUAGUGGCUAUGUCUAAACGAGGUUUUAAUGUACAGGACUAGGCCACAUAGAGCCAAAUAUAUAUCAAACUUUGAAGUUUUGACAUCAACCGUGCUUGAUCGCAGAUGUCUAUAUAGGCAGGAGGGUUCACUGGUUUAGAUGAAAGACUCUCCAUCGCUGACACUUAAUAUUUAUCUUCCAUAUGUACUAUAUAAAUAUCUUGUAUAGUUCUCUCUCAGCCAAACGUUAAGAAAUGUGUGUGUUUUGUUGGGCAAUCUGGGAUAAAAACAAAUCAAUCUUUGUAUACAAGCCGUGUCUUUUCUCUGUCAUUUGUUUCUAUUGAGGCAUGGCAGCAUUAUUUCAUUGCUCUCUAAAUUGCAAGAAAUAAAUCUUGGACACAUCAAUGUUGAUGGAGAGCAUACUGAUAUUACAGUUGUUUUUUAAUCAAAUCCUGGGACAAAAACAAAUGACUUUGAUUUAAAACAGACAGGAAAUGUAAUAAUGAAAAAAAUGAGACUUAUUUUGAUAUAUGUUUUGUCUGUCCUCCAUGUUUUCCAACUGUUUGGCCUUUCGAUACAGACUUUGUUGCUGCUGUCAAAGCUAUACUUCUGUCCAAAGAUGUUGAUGCCUCAGAUAACAUCUCGAAACAGAAUCUGGUUUGGUGCCUCCAAAGCCUUAACCCUCCGAACGUGCCCAAUCCUACAAGUAUACUGACCAAUACAACUCAUCAAUUGCAUAAUUUGGUUUGGCUUAAUGAAUAAACCACCACGAACAGGGACCAAAUGUAACAUUAGCAUCCUGCUCUGGUUUCCAACCUAUGACAAGAACCAUGCUUGAAGAACUGAGACUGAGGGAACCUCCAAGUCUCCAAGUCCUAGCUAGUCCAGUUGAUCAGUGCUACACCGGCAUAUGGGCUGGAUCAGAAAACACAAGCUCAAUGAUGUUACUACCAUCUGACCCCAGGGUGACAUGUUUAGGGAAUUUGCCUCAGGCCAAAGUCAAAAAUGUUUAUAUUGUUGUCAUUUUAAACAAAUAUGUUUAUGUUGUUGUCAUUUUAACAAAUGUCUUUCGUUCAGGGUCACGUCAACAAAGAUCGCUCUCAUUGGGACUCCCCCACUAACUGCAGGAAAUUGUGUUUAUAAGCAACAAAUAGGCAUAAAUUACUAAAAUGUUGGAGUGUUCAAUUCAUCACAUUAUUGUUGGUUAGUGCUGCUUCACCCCAAAAAGGGUUGCAGCUGUUUUUAAAGCAAUCAACAUUACUUAAUGAUGUUACCAUUGUUGCUAUAUCUAUUUUGUGUGGAACUACUACUGCUCCCAAACUGUGUUUGAAUAACAAAAUCUGUGCAAUAAAUUUCAAUUAUUUUCUGUC